CUUCAGGAAAUCUUCUCAGGAGGUCUUCAGAAAAUUCCAUGGAGCUUCACGCAGACGUGCCUCUACGAAUCUGUUUGACCAACUGGCUUUUUGCUGGUUGAACUGGCAGUUCAAAUCCUUUCUGGCCCGUCUGAGUACAAAUUCAUCUCCUGUCAGCUAUUUCAGCUCCAUGAACCUUAAUAUGCCAUUCACGUCCUCUCCAGAUGUCCACCAGUCUCCAAAUCCCCCAACUUCAGUCAUGUUCCAGAUGUCCAAAUAUGCUAUAACAGUUCAGCUCUGUUACACCAUGAUCCAAUUAAGAAAAUUGCCACAUCUGAUGACAAAAUGAUCCCAGGUCAUCCACUAAUACCUGGAGACAGCAUGGCAGGAAAUACUGGAAAUCGCCAGUCUCAGAUGCUCUGCAUAUCCCACAGUGGACCACAGAGGUCAGUAGGGAUGGUGCUGCACACUCCACCUCCACUGAGCCGUCAUCCAUCUGGACCACUGUUGCAUUGCCCCAGUCCCACAAUAACGACAACUAGAAGUGCAUCAGUGACUGGAAGUGCAAGAGGAGCUGCAUCCUAACUUCAAAUGGGUCCCUGUAACACCACCACACUUCCCAAAACGCAGCUGGGCUCCAUUGCCCAAAUUCAGCCCCUGCCUCAUGGAUCACUUCACUCUCCCAGUCUGGGGAUUCUGGGUAUGACCCAGCAGUUCCAUGUACCCCCUGAGGAUGCCAUUUCCCAUCACCGACUGCCCUUCCUUGGAAAGGGUUUGUCUCUCCAGCCGCUAUCGCACCUUCACGAUUCACGAUCCACUCUCUUCCUGCCCCUUCCAUUGACAGCAGUGUAGCUUGCAGCAAAAGUACUGGCAUUUUCACCAUCAUCGGCAAUAGCAGCAGGCCACGAUGGCCAGCAGGCUCUUGCAGAGGCCCUUUCCACACUAUCCGGCCAUGAUGUCACCACAACAGCAUCAGCAGAACCUUCCUGGGGUGCCAGUAGAGCAACAAAGACCCUCUGAUGUCCCAUCAGGGUAUCCGUAGCCCCAGUCAGGCACGAUGACACCCCACUCCCCCAGGCACUGUGGUAUGUCCCCGGAGAGUCCUCUGAGCUGUGGCCCCAGAACCGUGGCUAAUACACCAUUCUGAACAUGUUCUCUGAAGCUGUAAAAAUGGUAUUAGUGACUAUUACAUUUGUUACAUUAUUAUUGCACAAGUUUCAUUUCGAUCUACUUUAAUUAGAUUUUAAU
This is a long non-coding RNA of Scleropages formosus (Asian bonytongue), 1227 nucleotides long. RefSeq lists it as uncharacterized. The transcript is spliced from 3 exons. The record is from RefSeq and is a predicted model, not a curated record. Lineage: Eukaryota; Metazoa; Chordata; Actinopteri; Osteoglossiformes; Osteoglossidae.